UACAGAGGUCCCAAGCGUUGUUCGGAUUCACUGGGCGUAAAGGGUGCGUAGGCGGUCGGGUAAGUCUGAUGUGAAAUCUCACAGCUUAACUGUGAAACUGCAUUGGAUACUAUCCGGCUCGAGGAAUGGAGGGGAGACUGGAAUACUUGGUGUAGCAGUGAAAUGCGUAGAUAUCAUUUGGAACGCCAAUGGUGAAAACAGGUAGCUGGGAGUGUGCUGACGCUGAGACACGAAAGCCAGGGGAGCGAACGGG
Molecule: ribosomal RNA, 253 nt
Filed under: uncultured bacterium
Lineage: Bacteria
Description: partial 16S ribosomal RNA
Rfam family: Bacterial small subunit ribosomal RNA
Source: RNAcentral